UACGUAGGUGGCAAGCGUUGUCCGGAAUUAUUGGGCGUAAAGAGCGCGUAGGCGGAAAUCUAAGUCUGUCGUAAAAAUGCGGGGCUCAACCCCGUAGUGUCGAUGGAAACUGGAUAUCUUGAGAGCAGGAGAGGAAAGUAGAAUUCCCAGUGUAGCGGUGAAAUGCGUAGAUAUUGGGAGGAAUACCAGUGGCGAAGGCGGCUUUCUGGACUGUAUCUGACGCUGAGGCGCGAAAGCCAGGGGAGCGAACGGG
This 253-nucleotide ribosomal RNA is filed under the name uncultured microorganism. Its description in RNAcentral is "partial small subunit ribosomal RNA". It matches the Rfam family "Bacterial small subunit ribosomal RNA", at positions 524 to 776 of the family's 1533-position model. The record is from RNAcentral.